This 253-nucleotide ribosomal RNA is filed under the name uncultured bacterium. RNAcentral's name for it is "partial 16S ribosomal RNA". It matches the Rfam family "Bacterial small subunit ribosomal RNA", at positions 524 to 776 of the family's 1533-position model. The record is from RNAcentral.
UACAGAGGGUGCAAACGUUGCUCGGAAUUACUGGGCGUAAAGCGCGUGUAGGCGGGAAGAUAAGUCGGGUGUGAAAUCCCUGGGCUCAACCUAGGAACUGCAUUCGAAACUGUCUUUCUGGAGUGAUGGAGAGGAAAGCGGAAUUCCCGGUGUAGAGGUGAAAUUCGUAGAUAUCGGGAGGAACACCGGUGGCGAAGGCGGGUCUCUGGGCCGAUACUGACGCUGAGGAGCGAAAGCGUGGGGAGCGAACAGG